AGUGAACGCUGGCGGUAGGCCCAACACAUGCAAGUCGAACGGCAGCACAGUAAGAGCUUGCUCUUACGGGUGGCGAGUGGCGGACGGGUGAGGAAUACAUCGGAAUCUACUUUUUCGUGGGGGAUAACGUAGGGAAACUUACGCUAAUACCGCAUACGACCUACGGGUGAAAGCAGGGGAUCUUCGGACCUUGCGCGAUUGAAUGAGCCGAUGUCGGAUUAGCCAGUUGGCGGGGUAAAGGCCCACCAAGGCGACGAUCCGUAGCUGGUCUGAGAGGAUGAUCAGCCACACUGGAACUGAGACACGGUCCAGACUCCGACGGGAGGCAGCAGUGGGGAAUAUUGGACAAUGGGCGCAAGCCUGAUCCAGCCAUACCGCGUGGGUGAAGAAGGCCUUCGGGUUGUAAAGCCCUUUUGUUGGGAAAGAAAAGCAGCAGGUUAAUACCCCGCUGUUCUGACGGUACCCAAAGAAUAAGCACCGGCUAACUUCGU
This 491-nucleotide ribosomal RNA is filed under the name uncultured bacterium. RNAcentral's name for it is "partial 16S ribosomal RNA". It matches the Rfam family "Bacterial small subunit ribosomal RNA", at positions 29 to 506 of the family's 1533-position model. The record is from RNAcentral.